Molecule: long non-coding RNA, 503 nt
Organism: Juglans microcarpa x Juglans regia
Lineage: Eukaryota; Viridiplantae; Streptophyta; Magnoliopsida; Fagales; Juglandaceae
Exons: 2
Source: RefSeq, a predicted model, not a curated record
CCUGUAUAAAUAUACCCUACCAUAAAACUCUAUUUGUGUUCAGCUUAGCAAAUCUAUUACAUCAUAAAAAAGAAAAUGGCUGGAAACUCUUUGAGGUCUGCUUUCGUGACCCUCUUCGUGUUUGCAAUCAUCUUAUCUCCAAUGGUAACAUGCGAUGCAGCUCGGUUCACUCAAGAAGGACCCAUAUGCCCUGCUUGUGUAUGCUGCACACCUGCACCACCAGGGUCGUGUUGCCAGUGUUGCGCUACUCCCAUCGAGACACAGUCCCAGAAUGGGACUCCCUGAGCUUAGUAUCAAUAUCCAUCUUUUAGAUGCUGCCCAGACCUGUGUAGGCAGCAGUAUAUACAUUAUAUCAUGAAUAAAAGGAAUUUCUAUAGAGAAUGACCAAUUCUCCUCUGAACCCUCGAUUUGCAGUCUAUACACCACUUUGAUUUCUGAGAAUAAAUUAGCAUGUUUGUUUGUUGUAAUCAAAUGAAAUUAUUCAUGAAUAAAAGAACUUCCUC